UUUUUUACCAUACUUCCCUCUACCGUAUGCCUCAGCUUGCAGCCUGCCACCCCUACCAGUAUCCUUAUGCCCCUGUCUGUGGGUCUCUCUCACCCCACACACACACCAGGGGGAUAGGGGAAAAGCUUCAGCAAGCAGCCUACUACUGAGCCAGGAAAGAUCACCACUAUGUCUUAUUUUCGGGGUAUGGCUUAUAUUGCACAACUGCUUAGAAAUCCUGCUACGGCUUAUUUUAUGGAUCUCCUGAGUUGAGGAGGAGGAGGUGGAGACAUGAAUAGACUCUGACCAUCAUGGUCUCCUUCACUCUCCAUCUGAAAAGCCGACCUCACUAGAAUGUCUGCCAGCCUAAGAUGAAAUGAAGCACAUUCCUUCCAUUGGAACACCCAGAAUGUAUCCCAGGAAUCAAAGGACCGGAACGUGAAUUGAACAAGGCCACAUAUCAAUAAAUGCUACCGUUUCAUUGC
Hemicordylus capensis (graceful crag lizard) is the source of this 464-nucleotide long non-coding RNA. RefSeq lists it as uncharacterized. The transcript has 2 exons. Lineage: Eukaryota; Metazoa; Chordata; Lepidosauria; Squamata; Cordylidae. The record is from RefSeq and is a predicted model, not a curated record.